This is a long non-coding RNA of Passer domesticus (house sparrow), 3393 nucleotides long. RefSeq lists it as uncharacterized. The record is from RefSeq and is a predicted model, not a curated record. The transcript is spliced from 2 exons. Lineage: Eukaryota; Metazoa; Chordata; Aves; Passeriformes; Passeridae.
UUCUGCUAAGAAGAGCUGUAGUUAUUUCUACCAUGAUUUCUGUAACUGAUAGCUGGUCGUUGUUUUAGUUGCAAUUUGCUUUAGCUAUCUAUAUUUCACAUAAGUAUAUUUUGGAAAGUUACUAUUUGUUCUUGUAAACCUUGUUUUUGGCAAGCAGGAAAGAGUUAUCAAAGUGAAAAUAAUGGGGUGUUCAUUAUCUACUCUUGAGAUUUUCAUUUGCAUAGCUAUACAGGUGUUUGGGGACUGAUUAACUGCUGUAGAAAUUACUAGAAGACUAAGCACAUUACCUGUGCUUAGUUCCUAUCUCUAUAUUAUAAUUUUUUAGCAUGUAAAUAUUUGUAAUAUAUGACAUGACAUAUACAUAUUAAAUAUUGUCACUGUUUUCUUCCUUUAUAUUGCUAAACCUUUAAGUUCCUGUAUGUAACACCACAGUAUCCUGUCACAAUGCUACUUAAAUAUUGUUUCUCAUUUCCUCACACCUUGCAUCUCUAAAUUUUGAAGAAUAUUUAUCAGUCAUGUAGUUAAUGAUUUCAGUAUCUUUACAAUAUCAGAACUGAUGCUUUUAUUUAUAUCUGGCAAUUGUGGUAUUUGUACAUACAAAGUAUCUAUCAGUUGUGUAUAUUUUUUGAUCCGGAGUACUGCUGAAGUGGAAAAUCUAGUUUCAUUGCUUGCUUUUUAUUGACUGUUUUCUUCUUCCAGAUGGAGAUUCCUCCAGCUAAUGUAAAUGAAGUCUUUCCAUUGACUUCAGCAAGAGUCAGCUUAGUCCUUGUAGAAGGAAGUUAAUAGCACAGAGACAGACUCUUUUUGUACAGUUCUGCCUGGGUUUGCAAACAAACACUAGACACUCCUUUAUUUUUCUACUACUGCUGUGAAAGACAGGACAUCCUGCUUUUCAAAACAAAAGAUAUUAAGCCUACUUCAACUAGGUCAAUUACCAUGCUCAGAUAGAAAAUGGUGAGAUAUUUUCUGUAAUUGUCUAAAAAUUAGGUUUGUGCCUUGGACAACACAUCACUAUAAAACUAUAGCCUAGUGAAAGAAAGAUUAUUUUAUUCUUUUUCUUAAUAUUUUGUUUACAUUUUGUGUUGGAGACUAAAGGUGGGGAAAAGAAUUUGAGCAAAACAAUGAAGAUCUGCAGGUAAUGAAAAUUGGUCACUUGUAUGUGCACAUUUCUGCUGCUUGUCCCUUUCAGGUACCAUUCAGGGAUACAAUUCUCCCUUUGUGAAACAGAAAUCUGAAAUGGCAGGGGAAGAAGCUCCUAUUCUUCUCUGUUUCUUCCAUGCAGGUUCAGUGUCUCAGACAGAAUAGCUUCUUCAUGGCAAGUAAAUUGCUUCAUAGAAAUUUGCAGUCAUUAUUCACUGGAUUGAUUAGAAAUGCCAUCAGUGAGUCUCAGAACCUUUGUAUCAUUGCCAAUUCGAACUACUUAGUGGAUUUGAAAUUAAAGCACAAAAUACACAGAGACUCCUGCAGUUACAAGACUAUAGGUGUCAAACAUCUUGGUCUUUCCUUAUUGUAAUGGUUGCUCUCCCCAGAGUGUUUCAGGACUUAAAUGAUAUUACUUUCAGUCAUAACAGCUGAUUCCUUUCCUGUAAUACUGUUACAUAAAACUUAAGUCUGUUCUAGCAAAGAUGGUAGCUGUUCCAGUGAAGAUGAAACCAGAUCAUUCUCAAAUUUCUUUAAUUCUGGGCAGGAAGGUGUAGAGAGACAUGGGACUAAAAGAAGUGGGAGCAGAACUAAAAUCCAAUGUAGGGAAUAUGAGGAGUAUCAGAAAAGGCACAUGAAAAUGGAACCAGUGUGCAUAGUGAAUGCUGGAAAUAAAAUGAGACACAGGGAAUCUGGGGAUAGAACGAAAUGAACUGGGGGAAACAUAGGCUACCUCAGCAAGAACUGAGUACUGCACACUUUGCUUUCUGCAUGCCACAGGUCAAGGGUAUAUGAUACAUUGUUCACGUGCAGAGACUUUCUUAUAUAUUCUAGAGAUCCCUGUGGAUGCUCAGAUCAACUACAUUUUGGAGUUUUUUGUGCACUGGUAGCUGGUUGGCUGACUGCUUUAAAAUUUAUAAUGGUAGCUUUUGAGAUGUCAGUAGGAGAUAGCCUUUGCAAAACAACCACUACAGAUAGAGAAGGGGGAUGGGAGGAGAGCUGGGAUGGAUGAAAGAGAAUGCAAGAGAGAAGAAACAGAAAAUAAAUUCAGGAAAUUGGGAAGGAAGUAGAUGUAGGGCUUUAUCUGUGAGUCUAGGCCAAAGGCAUUUUGUAAUCUUAACAACACUAACUAUGCAGGGGAGAUAGGUAGAAUUAAGAUGUUAUUUUUUUAACUGCCCCAGCUAGUUGCCCUGCCCUUCUGCAGAAAGUUGUUACACCCUGAGGGAGAGGAGACAGAACCAUACCUAUUUCCCUGUAUAGUGUGGCAAGUAGCUUUAACCACCAGUGAGGACGUGGAGGCAGGUGAGUCAGAUGCCUGUAGUUUCUUCCGACACACCUCCUAGGGAGGGUACCCUCUGGCACAUGGGAGGGACAAAGUGCUGAGGUCUGUAAUACCUUUUUAAAUUGCAACAGCUAGAUCAGUCAGGCUUUUCUUAACUAAUUUUUGCUGUUCUAUGAAUCCUACUUUAGGUAGCCAUGUGUAUACUUAUAUGUUGGUACUAAAUUUGGAAGACUCCAUCCAAGAAAGAGAGAAAAAAGGGUGGCAUAAAACCAGAAGAAUAUAGAUGGCAGCUCCUAUCUGCUCAUUGGAAUAGAUGCUUCCUCUUAGAUAAACCUAGACAUUCUGCUCUCAGAUGAUAGCACGUUUGGAGAUAUGAGAGAAACAGGGAGCUGCUGGAACAUAUUGCAGAAGCCUAAAGCACUUAGCAACAGAGAAAGUGUGGGCUGCAGCGACAGAAGCCGGAAUGUGGAAACAAGUGACAUCGAGGCGGCUGUUUGGGAAAGAAGAGCUUUUACUUUGUUUAUAAUUUCAGUAAUUCUAAAGAACUUGGCAGUGUGGGAGGUCACUGCAGUCUCUGACUCUGCACAUAUCCUUUUCUGUGUGCCUGUUUUUCAAAUGCCUAUGAUAAUUAUUACCAAGAAUGCUGGAUGUUCUAAUUUCCUUUUGUAUUUCCUGUUUCUCUAAAACUAGAGAAGUAAAAUUAAGGUAUUUGUUUUGCAUCAAUUUAUUCUGUUAAGAGAUAUUCAUGUGGCAGGCACUGUGUAUAGUUUUUUUAAAUUAUAGUGAUAAUGUCUUAUGGAGUGAUACAAUCAUUUACCGUGAUGCUUUUUAGUGCUUUGCACUAGAAUAUCCUGAUGGUGUGCACUAAUGAUAGUGUGGAUGUCAAAUAACUGCUAAAGAAAACUGCCUGAGGUGCUGAGCAGGGUAAAUUGAGUUGCGAUAAAAUAAAAAUUUUUCUGACAUCACAGUGA